Long non-coding RNA from Epinephelus moara (kelp grouper), 446 nucleotides. RefSeq lists it as uncharacterized. The transcript is spliced from 2 exons. Lineage: Eukaryota; Metazoa; Chordata; Actinopteri; Perciformes; Serranidae. The record is from RefSeq and is a predicted model, not a curated record.
GGACACUGUGGCCAGAAUCGCUCAGUUCUUGCAGAAAUCUCUGGACGCUGAGGUGAUAGAGAAGAUAGCAGACCGAUGUUUGUUCAAGAACAUGAAGAAGAACAACAUGUCAAACUACAAAUCUGUUCCUCGUGAACAGAUGGACCAGACAAAGUUUGAUUUUCUAAGGAAAGGGAUUGUUGGAGACUGGAAAAACCAACUAACAGUGGCAGAAGCAGAAUACUUUGAUGCUGUUUACAAAGACAAAAUGAAAGAUGUCCAAUAUAAAUUUGCAUGGGAGUAAAAAGAAGUGAAUGGAAAUACUUACUGGAAGUCAUUUCACCAUACAAUGAUGCACAGAAACUUGUAAUAAAGAUGCAGUUGUUUCCAAUGUACUUCUAUGUUUAUUGUUUUGUGGUGUGAACAUAAUGAUCUUAUAUCAAUCACAAAUGAAUUUACCAGAAAUG